Molecule: ribosomal RNA, 254 nt
Filed under: uncultured bacterium
Lineage: Bacteria
Description: partial 16S ribosomal RNA
Rfam family: Bacterial small subunit ribosomal RNA
Source: RNAcentral
UACGAAGGGGGCUAGCGUUGCUCGGAAUCACUGGGCGUAAAGCGCACGUAGGCGGCUUUCUAAGUCAGGGGUGAAAUCCUGGAGCUCAACUCCAGAACUGCCUUUGAUACUGGAGAGCUUGAGUCCGGAAGAGGUGAGUGGAACUCCGAGUGUAGAGGUGAAAUUCGUAGAUAUUCGGAAGAACACCAGUGGCGAAGGCGGCUCACUGGUCCGGUACUGACGCUGAGGUGCGAAAGCGUGGGGAGCAAACAGGG